GAACGAGCCAAGCCGAGUUUCGCCCGGUCCAGCUCGGUGACUCGUUGAGGCCCAGCCCAAUCCCGUCGGCCUCGCAUCGCAUUAGGUCGCAACAGAGAGAGCACGCACGCAACGCAGUUUCCUCACCCUUCUCCCUUUCUCCGCCCGGCGCCGCCACCCCUCUUCGCCGCGCCGCAAGCUGGACUCAUGGGGCUCGGCAUCGACGGCGAUGGGCAACGCCGCCUUCCCUCACCACAACGGACGCAGGCGGACGCGUCUCCCCUGGUUUCUCGUUGAACGACACAGGCAGAGCCCCACUGUCGCAAGAAUGGACAAGGAAAAGGGAAAGGAGAGGAGGAGGAGAAGGAGAAAGAGAGGUGCUUGGUCUCCAUUAUGAAGACUAAGCCGCCUACCCCAGGAAGCAGAAGGGGAAGGGCAAGGGCUGUGUCGCUGCCAAGGAAGCGGGCCAAGGAAUUACGGCAUUGUCCCGCUCGCCAAGUUGUUAUUACGGGUAAAAAAAAACUCCACCGCCUUGACAUCUCGCUGACCCCGCCGACGCCAGCGUGUGUGCCACGAUCGCCGCUGCCAACGGCUUCGCAAACGACUCCGAGAGGGAGACUACAUCUUCACCGGCAAUGGAGCAUGAUAAGCAAGGAGAGAAGGAUUAUGAAGAGGAAGAGAAUGAGGAGGAAGAGGGUGAGUAAGAUACUCUGUUUGAGGAGGAAGAUUCUCAUUUUGAUGUCAAAGCACUAAGUGUUAUGCUAUGCAGAAUUGCAUUGUUUGGCUGUCAACGUUCAAUAUUUUUGCCGUAUAAAGUUCAAAGGAGGAGCUGUCCAAAAUUCAAAAGCAAUGAUGCCCAAUUCUUUCUUAGUCA
This is a long non-coding RNA of Triticum aestivum (bread wheat), 853 nucleotides long. RefSeq lists it as uncharacterized. NCBI's taxonomy places the organism in Eukaryota, Viridiplantae, Streptophyta, Magnoliopsida, Poales, Poaceae. The transcript is spliced from 3 exons. The record is from RefSeq and is a predicted model, not a curated record.